GAUGAACGCUGGCGGCGUGCCUAAUACAUGCAAGUCGAGCGAACGGACGAGAAGCUUGCUUCUCUGAUGUUAGCGGCGGACGGGUGAGUAACACGUGGAUAACCUACCUAUAAGACUGGGAUAACUUCGGGAAACCGGAGCUAAUACCGGAUAAUAUUUUGAACCGCAUGGUUCAAAAGUGAAAGACGGUCUUGCUGUCACUUAUAGAUGGAUCCGCGCUGCAUUAGCUAGUUGGUAAGGUAACGGCUUACCAAGGCAACGAUGCAUAGCCGACCUGAGAGGGUGAUCGGCCACACUGGAACUGAGGCACGGUCCAGACUCCUACGGGAGGCAGCAGUAGGGAAUCUUCCGCAAAGGGCGAAAGCCUGACGGAGCAACGCCGCGUGAGUGAUGAAGGUCUUCGGAUUGUAAAACUCUGUUAUUAGGGAAGAACAUAUGUGUAAGUAACUGUGCACAUCUUGACGAUACCUAAUCAGAAAGCCACGGCUAACUACGUG
RNAcentral lists this ribosomal RNA (497 nucleotides) under uncultured bacterium. RNAcentral describes it as "partial 16S ribosomal RNA". It matches the Rfam family "Bacterial small subunit ribosomal RNA", at positions 28 to 507 of the family's 1533-position model. The record is from RNAcentral.